Molecule: ribosomal RNA, 681 nt
Filed under: Triticum aestivum (bread wheat)
Lineage: Eukaryota; Viridiplantae; Streptophyta; Magnoliopsida; Poales; Poaceae
Description: partial small subunit ribosomal RNA
Source: RNAcentral
AUGAAGUACCAAUUCAGUUUGCAUGGUGAGAUGAUGUACAAUGGCCUUGAUGCCUGGGUGCGUGGCUGGAACGACGGGGAGAGGAGCAUGAUGCAGAGCGUUGAUCUCCCAAACUGGAGAGGAUUGCUACCACCUGAUGUUGUGCUCCACAUUGAAAAUAUUGAUACUGACAACGCCCGUGCUGUGCUCAUUGCGAUGCUUUCGACGUCCAAGCUUGGUUUCCCACUCUGCAUGUGUUGUCUGCUCUUGUUCCCUGUGUGGCUUGCUAACGACUGGUCCCUGUACGCCUUCGACAUGGAGCUGACCAGGGUCACGGUGAUGGACCCAUUGUACAUGCAGGUGGGGUCACCAGUGUACGAGAGGAAGCACGGGGCGACCGUGCGCAUGCUGCUUAAAGGGCUUAAAAUCCUGGCCACCAUCCUGUUUGAUGACUGGGAGAUGGAUAUCUCCAAAUGGACUGUUCGGUACAACAUUGAUAUGCACAUAGCUUGUGGCAGCGGUGAAUCGCCUGGCUACAUUGCGCACUAUGCGGACAACUUCAAUGCUUACGAGCUAGAGGAAGCCGUUCCUGAAGUUGGUCUUCCCCUGCGUCGGAAAAGGAUGCUCUAUGAGACAAUUCCCUGCUCGGGCAACACCGCUCCUCACCCAGGAUUCAUGGAGGAAGUGGAGGUGGAGGAGUAG